UACAGAGGGGGCAAGCGUUGUUCGGAAUUACUGGGCGUAAAGGGCGCGUAGGCGGCCUUCUAAGUCGAACGUGAAAUCCCCGGGCUCAACCCGGGAACUGCGUCCGAUACUGGAAGGCUUGAAUCCGGGGGAGGGAUGUGGAAUUCCAGGUGUAGCGGUGAAAUGCGUAGAUAUCUGGAGGAACACCGGUGGCGAAGGCGACAUCCUGGACCGGUAUUGACGCUGAGGAGCGAAAGCGUGGGGAGCAAACAGG
RNAcentral lists this ribosomal RNA (253 nucleotides) under uncultured bacterium. RNAcentral's name for it is "partial 16S ribosomal RNA". It matches the Rfam family "Bacterial small subunit ribosomal RNA", at positions 524 to 776 of the family's 1533-position model. The record is from RNAcentral.